CUCACUGCUAUCGGGGUGGGACUAAAACAUGCAAGUCGAGCGCCUCCAAGCUAUGGUGAAGGCGCGGCAUACGGCUCAGUAACACGUGGCCAACCUACCCUUGGGACGGAGACAACCCCGGGAAACUGGGGCUAAUCCCCGAUAGGUAAGGAAUCCUGGAAUGGGUCCUCGCUGAAAAGGCAUCUUGAGCAUGCUUCUUGAUGUCGCCCAAGGAUGGAGCCGCGACCGAUCAGGUAGUUGGCGAGGCAAUGGCUCACCAAGCCUAUAACCGGUACGGGCCGUGAGAGCGGGAGCCCGGAGAUGGGCACUGAGAUAAGGGCCCAGGCCCUACGGGGCGCAGCAGUUGCGAAAACUCCACAAUGCACGAAAGUGCGAUGGGGCUACCCCGAGUGCCGUCCGCUGAGGACGGCUUUUCCACGGUGUAAGGAGCCGUGGGAAUAAGGAGAGGGCAAGCCUGGUGUCGGCCGCCGCGGUAAUACCAGCUCUCCGAGUGGUGAGGACGAUUAUUGGGCUUAAAGCGUUCGUAGCCGGCUUAACAAGUCUUCCGUUAAAUUCAACGAUCUAAUCGUUGGUCUGCGGAAGAUACUGUUGGGCUAGGAGGCGGGAGAGGCCGACGGUAUCCUCGGGGUAGGGGUGAAAUCCUGUAAUCCCGGGAGGACCACCAGUGGCGAA
RNAcentral lists this ribosomal RNA (672 nucleotides) under uncultured archaeon. RNAcentral's name for it is "bacterial SSU rRNA". It matches the Rfam family "Archaeal small subunit ribosomal RNA", at positions 23 to 670 of the family's 1478-position model. The record is from RNAcentral.